CAGAACAAAGUUUUGAACUUUCUUGGAAUUGGAACUUAGUAAUGUCUAUGUAUGGAAGAGCCGAAGAGCCUUCGUGCUGUGUUUUAACUUAAGUCUAAGCAAACUCAAUUUGAGUUCCAAUUGCCUGAGGAACUCUGUUUGUUUGUGAGGGAUGUUCAAAAUACCAACCAGUAGAUGCAACCUCUAUUGUUCUUACUUGUUAACCAUGGAAUCCAUAUAUUAUGUGACUGAGAGGAAGUGAGUUCUCUGGCAGAUGAAAGCAAAGAUACCGCCAAGUAGAUAGACUUUUCGAAUAAUGCCCGACGCGGAGGAGGAGAUUCGUCACAAUCUUCUGCAGUGAGUUGGCAGACAGUGUCCUGGCAAGUAGUAAUUUUUGAAGGAUGAUGGGUUUGGCAACAGACUGCAGCUAGAGCUUAAAAAAGAAACUUGCAGGAGCUGAGGCCACCAUGUGAAGAGGGCCUAUAGGAUAAAAUGGAACUUCUACCCGUUGUUGUUGCAGAAAAGUUAGAGAUGCGCUCUCUAGACAAGUCGCUGUGUUGAUUAUCACAGAGGAAGCUGUCCGUUUGUCAGCUGUGUUCCUAUACACCUCCAUUAUGCUUUCUAAUGAUGCAAAUCGUGAAACCGGAAAGUCUUUGUAUCUCAGGGGAUAUAACUCUGGCACUAGCUCUUCUUCUUGUCCUUUUGGUUCUGCGGAAAGGUGAAAAAGCCUAUAGUGUUACAAGAUUAUAGCCGCUUUCAGAAACUCUGAAACAGAGAGUUAUAGAUUACCUUUCAAGGGAGCCAGAACAUUGUUUGCGUAGAGUUUCUCAAAUACAGAGCGACAUUUAAAAGCUGUGGCACUUGUUGUGCUAAAAAUGACGUUUGGAAGAUUAAACUCUUUGGCUGCAGCUUCAGCAAAGUACAUGGACUCAUCGUAGAUGACACAUGAUAUCUCAUUACUUUUUUGGAGAAGCAACUGACCUAAACAGGCCUUGAGGCUCACCUGACACUCUUUUUUGAGCUUAAGCAUAAACUGUAUUGGUCCGAGAUUCUUGAAAUCAGACUCCGGCAAGCUUUCUUGGAUUGAGACGAAUUGAUAAUCUGUGAAGCCAUCUGAAGGGAUAAAGUAAUUGAACUUGGUCUGGAGAGCUGUGAUUGAGAAACCCUUCAAGUGAAGGGCUUUUGCAAGUUGCAUCAUUGGAGUUAUAUGCCCUUGAGCUGGAAAUGGAACCAGGACUAUUCGUCUCCUUGCUUGCUUCUAUUCCAUUUCAAAAGCCUGCAAGAAUAACUAAGAAAUACUUCUCUCAGCUCCGCGCUGUGCUAGUUUUGGUUACUCUGGUCAUCAGCUUCUAUGAAAAUUUCAAUGUGCUUUAUACGAAGAAGUAUCUUUCUGAUAUAAAUAUCAGAUUUUCAGACUUGUGGACGUUAAUUCUCGCAUGUGAAGCUUUGGUAGAUGGUGUAAUCAGAGACAAGAGAAAGAUCCUUCUGUCUUCGUGGUCCUCCUCUUGUAUCAUUUAAUAAUAGUCUUACUUUUUGAUGCACAAUUCUAUCUUGAGCAAACUAGUAUUUGAUUUUAAAAUUUGUUUGCUUACAAAGUAAACCACGUACAGUUCUGUAAAUUUUGCAGAUCAAGCUUGGUUUAUGCA
Molecule: long non-coding RNA, 1625 nt
Organism: Camelina sativa (false flax)
Lineage: Eukaryota; Viridiplantae; Streptophyta; Magnoliopsida; Brassicales; Brassicaceae
Source: RefSeq, a predicted model, not a curated record